This is a long non-coding RNA of Seriola aureovittata, 536 nucleotides long. RefSeq lists it as uncharacterized. The record is from RefSeq and is a predicted model, not a curated record. NCBI's taxonomy places the organism in Eukaryota, Metazoa, Chordata, Actinopteri, Carangiformes, Carangidae. The transcript is spliced from 3 exons.
CCCCUUCAGAGCGGCAACGGUGGGCUGUGUUUGCGGUUGCAUUUAGCGUCUUCUGUAUUGGUGAAUGCCGGUAGCCGUGCGGGUCUCGUCUCUCCCUCACUCUCCUUAAGCCUGUGUGAACUCUAUAAAGUUGCUGCAGGCCGGUGGUGGUGCUGGUGACUCGGGUGGUGGUGUCCCUUCCUUCUGUGUGCCGUGUCCUGGGAUUUUUGGGUGAUUUCACAUUGUGUGUGUGCUUGCCACGUGUGUUGAGUGUCUGAUUAUUUUCACCUCAAUAUUAUUUUGUAUUUGGUAGACUCCCCACUCCUCUCACUAGCUCCUGCCCACACCCAUAGGCCUCAGCUCCUGACUCAUAUUACUUUCUUUUCGUAUGGUUGGAUUUUAUAGUCUUUUAGAGUAUUUUUGAAAUAAAGUGUAUUUCUUGUUGUAAGUACUUGGACUCAUGUCUCUUGCCUGGGGUAUAACGAACCUGUGUCCUAUUAUUGUUAAUGGUGAAUAAUUCCUUGGGUGAAAUUCCCAAGGUGGCGUUGUCAGGCAAU